This 253-nucleotide ribosomal RNA is filed under the name uncultured bacterium. RNAcentral's name for it is "partial 16S ribosomal RNA". It matches the Rfam family "Bacterial small subunit ribosomal RNA", at positions 524 to 776 of the family's 1533-position model. The record is from RNAcentral.
UACAGAGGUCUCAAGCGUUGUUCGGAUUCAUUGGGCGUAAAGGGUGCGUAGGUGGCGCUGUAAGUCAGGUGUGAAAUUUCGGAGCUUAACUCCGAAACUGCAUUUGAUACUGCGGUGCUCGAGGACUGGAGAGGAGACUGGAAUUUACGGUGUAGCAGUGAAAUGCGUAGAGAUCGUAAGGAAGGCCAGUGGCGAAGGCGGGUCUCUGGACAGUUCCUGACACUGAGGCACGAAGGCCAGGGGAGCAAACGGG